Molecule: long non-coding RNA, 656 nt
Organism: Diorhabda carinulata
Lineage: Eukaryota; Metazoa; Arthropoda; Insecta; Coleoptera; Chrysomelidae
Exons: 2
Source: RefSeq, a predicted model, not a curated record
UUCAAGCUCUGGAUCAGAAUAUGUGCCAGACUAUGAAGUUGAAAAACGAAACUUAUUACAGUCAAGCAAAAGCAGCUUGGAGAGCGAAUAUUCAGAGCAUGAAGAAUCUCUUUCUCACCUAAAAGCAAAGGGUGUAGCAGGAGUAAGAAGGUACAAUAGUUUUUGACAAAAAUAAAAUUUUAGAAAAAAAACUUCCUUAUGUUUAAUGUUUGUAAAUUAUGGCAGACUUUUCCCGGAGAUUGGGGAGGCCUCAAACUCAAUAAAUAAGAAUGUUCCAAUACCAGAGGAUCAUGGCUCGAUAGUCAAGUAUGGAAUAUUGAAAUCAGAACUAGAAUAUUUUUUACAUUUUUUUUUGUAGAACUGAUCAGGACGACAAUAAUACUUAUUGUGCUGAUAAACGUAUUGUCAAUUAUACUGAUUCUGAAACAUCUCAAUCAUAAGAAGAAAAAACCCCAAUGAAGGCGAAGACCAGGACUCGUAAGCAAAAAAGAAAUAUUAGACUUCGGAAAAGUAACUAAAGAAUAGAAAAGUAUCAAAAGGGGGAAAGCUAUAUAAACACCAAAGGAGAAUUAAAACCUGCAAAAAAGAUUGACGAAAAUAAAUAUUGCCCUGAAAGCUGCAAUUUCAGUGUAGAAAAAAAUUUUCACCUGAGCAAA